RNAcentral lists this small RNA (283 nucleotides) under Nomascus leucogenys (northern white-cheeked gibbon). RNAcentral's name for it is "Metazoan signal recognition particle RNA (ENSNLEG00000035042.1)". The record is from RNAcentral. Lineage: Eukaryota; Metazoa; Chordata; Mammalia; Primates; Hylobatidae.
GCUAGGCGUGGUGGCUCAUGCCUAUAAUCCCAGCAUUUUGGGAGGCCGAGGCAGGUGGAUCACUUGAGCUCAGGAGUUCGAGAUCAGCCUGGGAAACAUGGCAAAACACUGUCUCUACAAAAAAAUUAAAAUAUUUGCUGGGCAUGGUGGCAUGCGCCUGUAAUCCCAGCUACUUGGGAGGCUCAGGUGGGAGGAUCACUUGAGCCCAGGAUAUUGAGGAUACAGUGAUUCCAGAUUGCACCACUGUACUCCAGCCUGGGCAACAAAGUGAGACCCUGUCUCA